UAUUCAUCUCGAGUGACAGAGGGACUGGCCCUAUGAAGUCACGGCAACCAUCAACAAAGAAACGGUGCCAAUUCCAGCGAGAUUAUCUCGAAAGAUGAUAC
Regulatory RNA element from Dialister sp. CAG:588, 101 nucleotides. It matches the Rfam family "SAM riboswitch aptamer (S box leader)". Rfam says of the family: The SAM riboswitch is found upstream of a number of genes which code for proteins involved in methionine or cysteine biosynthesis in Gram-positive bacteria. The SAM riboswitch acts at the level of transcription termination control. NCBI's taxonomy places the organism in Bacteria, Bacillati, Bacillota, Negativicutes, Veillonellales, Veillonellaceae. The record is from Rfam.